GAUGAACGCUGGCGGCGUGCCUAAUACAUGCAAGUAGAACGCUGAAGGAGGAGCUUGCUUCUCUGGAUGAGUUGCGAACGGGUGAGUAACGCGUAGGUAACCUGCCUGGUAGCGGGGGAUAACUAUUGGAAACGAUAGCUAAUACCGCAUAAGAGCAGUUGUUGCAUGACAGCUGUUUAAAAGGUGCAAUUGCACCACUACCAGAUGGACCUGCGUUGUAUUAGCUAGUUGGUGAGGUAACGGCUCACCAAGGCGACGAUACAUAGCCGACCUGAGAGGGUGAUCGGCCACACUGGGACUGAGACACGGCCCAGACUCCUACGGGAGGCAGCAGUAGGGAAUCUUCGGCAAUGGGGGCAACCCUGACCGAGCAACGCCGCGUGAGUGAAGAAGGUUUUCGGAUCGUAAAGCUCUGUUGUAAGAGAAGAACAAGUGUGAGAGUGGAAAGUUCACACUGUGACGGUAUCUUACCAGAAAGGGACGGCUAACUACGUGCCAGCAGCCGCGGUAAUACGUAGGUCCCGAGCGUUAUCCGGAUUUAUUGGGCGUAAAGCGAGCGCAGGCGGUUAGAUAAGUCUGAAGUUAUAGGCUGUGGCU
RNAcentral lists this ribosomal RNA (597 nucleotides) under uncultured Streptococcus sp. RNAcentral's name for it is "bacterial SSU rRNA". It matches the Rfam family "Bacterial small subunit ribosomal RNA", at positions 28 to 609 of the family's 1533-position model. The record is from RNAcentral. Lineage: Bacteria; Bacillati; Bacillota; Bacilli; Lactobacillales; Streptococcaceae.